Molecule: ribosomal RNA, 471 nt
Filed under: uncultured bacterium
Lineage: Bacteria
Description: bacterial SSU rRNA
Rfam family: Archaeal small subunit ribosomal RNA
Source: RNAcentral
ACUAAAUAGAUACCCGGGUAGUCCCAGCUGUAAACGAUGCAGACUAGGUGUUUGGACGGCCACGUGCCGUUCUAGUGCCGCAGGGAAGCUGUUAAGUCUGCCGCCUGGGGAGUACGAUCGCAAGAUUGAAACUUAAAGGAAUUGGCGGGGGAGCACCACAAGGGGUGAAGCUUGCGGUUUAAUUGGAGUCAACGCCGGAAAUCUCACCGGGAGCGACAGCAGUGUGAUAGCCAGAUUAAAGGUCUUGCUAGACGAGCUGAGAGGAGGUGCAUGGCCGUCGCCAGUUCGUGCCGUGAGGUGUCCUGUUAAGUCAGGCAACGAUCGAGACCCGCGUCCUCUGUUGCUACCAGUCUUGUGCUGGGCACACUGAGGAGACCGCCGCUGAUAAACGCGGAGGAAGGAGCGGGCCACGGCAGGUCAGUAUGCCCCGAAUCUCCCGGGCCACACGCGAGCUGCAAUGGCAGGUACAAU